GAUGAACGCUGGCGGCGUGCUUAACACAUGCAAGUCGAACGGAAAGGCCCAAGCUUGCUUGGGUACUCGAGUGGCGAACGGGUGAGUAACACGUGGGUGAUCUGCCCUGCACUUCGGGAUAAGCCUGGGAAACUGGGUCUAAUACCGGAUAGGACCACGGCUUGGAUGCCAUUGUGGAAAGUUUUUGCGGUGUGGGGUGAGCGCGCGGCCUAUCAGCUUGUUGGUGGGGUAAUGGCCUACCAAGGCGUCGACGGGUAGCCGGCGUGAGAGGGUGUAGGGCGACAUUGUGGGUGAGAUACGGCGCAGACACCUCCGGGGGGGAGAAGUGGGGAGUAUUGCACAAUGGGGGCGGGACUGAGGCAGAGACGCCGCGUGGGGGAUGAGAGCGUUCGCGUUGUAAACUCCUCUCGCUCGAGACGAGGAGUUUUUGUGACGGUACCUGGAGAAGAAGCACCGGCUAACUACGUG
RNAcentral lists this ribosomal RNA (468 nucleotides) under uncultured bacterium. RNAcentral describes it as "partial 16S ribosomal RNA". It matches the Rfam family "Bacterial small subunit ribosomal RNA", at positions 28 to 507 of the family's 1533-position model. The record is from RNAcentral.